AAGAAUCAUUGGGAAGGGAAGAAA
Molecule: microRNA, 24 nt
Filed under: Panax ginseng (ginseng)
Lineage: Eukaryota; Viridiplantae; Streptophyta; Magnoliopsida; Apiales; Araliaceae
Description: pgi-miR6139
Source: miRBase by way of RNAcentral